This 609-nucleotide ribosomal RNA is filed under the name Streptomyces sp. RNAcentral describes it as "bacterial SSU rRNA". It matches the Rfam family "Bacterial small subunit ribosomal RNA", at positions 20 to 664 of the family's 1533-position model. The record is from RNAcentral. Lineage: Bacteria; Bacillati; Actinomycetota; Actinomycetes; Kitasatosporales; Streptomycetaceae.
UAUCUCAGGAACGCGCAUUGCACAUGCAAGUCGAACGAUGAAGCCCUUCGGGGUGGAUUAGUGGCGAACGGGUGAGUAACACGUGGGCAAUCUGCCCUGCACUCUGGGACAAGCCCUGGAAACGGGGUCUAAUACCGGAUAUGACCAUCUUGGGCAUCCUUGAUGGUGUAAAGCUCCGGCGGUGCAGGAUGAGCCCGCGGCCUAUCAGCUUGUUGGUGAGGUAAUGGCUCACCAAGGCGACGACGGGUAGCCGGCCUGAGAGGGCGACCGGCCACACUGGGACUGAGACACGGCCCAGACUCCUACGGGAAGGCAGCAGUGGGGGAAUAUUGCACAAUGGGCGAAAGCCUGAUGCAGCGACCCCGCCGUGAGGGAUGACGGCCUUCGGGUUGUAACCUCUUUUCGCAGGGAAGAAGCGGAAGGUGACGGUACUCGCCAGAAGAAGGCGCCGGCUAACUCCUUGCCCACAAGCCCGGGAUAUACGUUAGGGCGCAGCCUUUGCCGGAAUUAUUGGCGUAAAAGUUCGAAGGGGGUUUGCCCGUCAUUGUGAAGUUCGGGCUUACCCCAAUCUGCAGUCGAUCCGGCUACUUAAAGGGGGAGGGGAAUCGG